CACAGCUGCGGUUGAAAAAGCAGGAAAAAAGCUCUUUUCCAAAAGGGCACUUGCACGGAGCACUGCUCAGUUGUCCGGGCAGCUCAGGAGGUUGUAAAUUGCACUCAUGUGACACAGAGCGACAGAACCGGUAGUUAUACCGAUUGGAUCCCAUCCCUGGCUAAAAUGAUCAUGGACCUUGUAG
Pseudonaja textilis is the source of this 184-nucleotide non-coding RNA. NCBI's taxonomy places the organism in Eukaryota, Metazoa, Chordata, Lepidosauria, Squamata, Elapidae. The record is from RefSeq and is a predicted model, not a curated record.